GACAAUACAAUUGGUAAGACUCGUAUAUAAUCGGUAAUAUGGUCCGAAAGUUUCUACCUGCAAACCAUAAAUUUGCAGACUACGGGGAGUUGUAUUUUAUUA
This 102-nucleotide non-coding RNA is filed under the name Clostridium sulfidigenes. Its description in RNAcentral is "Guanine sequence". It matches the Rfam family "Purine riboswitch aptamer". From Rfam's summary of the family: Riboswitches are metabolite binding domains within certain messenger RNAs that serve as precision sensors for their corresponding targets. Allosteric rearrangement of mRNA structure is mediated by ligand binding, and this results in modulation of gene expression. Lineage: Bacteria; Bacillati; Bacillota; Clostridia; Eubacteriales; Clostridiaceae. The record is from Rfam by way of RNAcentral.